This 374-nucleotide ribosomal RNA is filed under the name uncultured bacterium. RNAcentral describes it as "bacterial SSU rRNA". It matches the Rfam family "Bacterial small subunit ribosomal RNA", at positions 28 to 400 of the family's 1533-position model. The record is from RNAcentral.
GACAAACGCUGGCGGCGUGCUUAACACAUGCAAGUCGAACGGUACUCCUACGGGAGUAUAGUGGCGGACGGGUGAGUAACACGUAGCUAAUCUACCCUGAUGUGGGGAAUAACCCCUCGAAAGAGGAGCUAAGACCGCAUAAGUUCUCUCUUGUUAGAGAGAGAAGAAACUUUGGCAGUGAAAAGCCAGAGGCGUUAGGAUGAGGCUGCGGCGGAUUAGCUAGAUGGNGGGGUAAAAGCCACCAUGGCGACGAUCCGUAGCUGGUCUGAGAGGACGACCAGCCACACUGGGACUGAGACACGGCCCAGACUCCGUACGGGAGCAGCAGUGAGGAAUAUUCCACAAUGGGCGCAAGCCUGAUGGAGCGACGCCGC